RNAcentral lists this small RNA (289 nucleotides) under human gut metagenome. RNAcentral describes it as "5' ureB small RNA". It matches the Rfam family "5' ureB small RNA". The record is from RNAcentral.
UAUGUAUCUGUGUCGGUGAAAUAAAAUGAAUAUGGGUAUCUAUUCCUCCGGCAGUAAGAAUAAGUCCUUCUCCUGCAAGAGCCUCUGUUGAACUGCCAAUUAUCAUAUUUUUAUCCACGCCGUCCAUUACAUGCGGAUUCCCAGCCUUACCAAUUCCGGCAAUUUUACCAUUCUUUAUUCCUAUAUCGGCUUUAUAAAUCCCUGUACUGUCAAUAACAAUUGCACUUGUUAUUACCAAAUCAAGACAUUCAUCAUCUGUAUGGCUUGCUGACUGUCCCAUGCCAUCACG